Molecule: ribosomal RNA, 254 nt
Filed under: uncultured bacterium
Lineage: Bacteria
Description: partial 16S ribosomal RNA
Rfam family: Bacterial small subunit ribosomal RNA
Source: RNAcentral
GAUCAUGGCUCAGGAUGAACGCUAGCGACAGGCUUAACACAUGCAAGUCGAGGGGCAGCACGGUGUAGCAAUACACUGGUGGCGACCGGCGCACGGGUGAGUAACACGUGUGCAACCAACCCCGUACCGGGAGAUAACCCGCGGAAACGUGGACUAACAUCCCAUAAGACUCUAGAGCCGCAUGGCUCUGGAUUUAAAAUUCCGGUGGUACGGGACGGGCACGCGCGACAUUAGGUAGUUGGCGGGGGUAACGG